Molecule: long non-coding RNA, 599 nt
Organism: Daphnia pulicaria
Lineage: Eukaryota; Metazoa; Arthropoda; Branchiopoda; Diplostraca; Daphniidae
Exons: 3
Source: RefSeq, a predicted model, not a curated record
UGCUGUUUAGCCGGUAAAUAAAACUAAUAUUACAAAUAGAAUGAUUUUGGAAGCUGUAGAAGAGUUAAACUGAAAUGUUAGUUCCUGACUAGCAUUCAUCAUGCAAUUGCCCUGUCAAUGUAUGGCAGUUUGUUUGUGCUAUAGGUAACCCUUCUCUUUUUUGCAGAUUUGAGGCCAGAGCCAGCCAUCAUAACUACACAAUAUACAAGUUUUCUUGUGCAAGUGAUAACCUGUCAUCAGCAACAAUCUCAGGAUCAUCGCUUGGAUACAAAGCAUCCCAUUGCACUGGAAAAACUACCGAUAUCAAUCGAAUUACGGAUCUCUCUAUCCCCUUUCUUUAAAUGUCCUCGUGUAUGCCCAUGUGAAUGUGGGUGUAUUCACGAGAACACCCCUUACCCUAUUCCGUCUGGUGCUGUAAUUCAACUCUUCAGCAGAUGGAUGGAGCAACUGUAGAUGCCUGGCUGUAUUUUCCAGGCAUAAAGAAUUUGUUAUCCAUCAGUCAACCCUCAUUGCCCAUUGAAAUAAUGGAUGUGGGACACCGCGAUGACAAGCCAAGACACAUGUCCAAGGAAAUUCCUGGUUGUUAUGAUUUAUUGAGA